CUUCCACCGAGCAAGGGAUGCCUGAGCACAAGUAGCUGAGUGCCCAGUGACUUUACGAAGCACUUUUCUACCUUCCUCGGGAGUGCAAACUGGGAUUCUGCACCUGCAUCGGGGACAGUCUGGCCAAAGCCUCUGCUCUGCCUCUGAGGACAUGGAACUAAAGCCAAUAACCAUUUUGAAAUUAGGGAUCUUGGCAAAAUGAUCAAUCCAUGAAGGAAACAGAAUGCAGUUUGAUCUACAUCUUCAGUGACAGUUCCACAGAAGUUGAAGACACAUGUCAUCUCCCCAAAGAAGAGCAGAGAGCGUGGUUAGCUGUACUCUACAAUUAGGGCAUGAUGAAGUUCGGUAGUGUUCACCAGCUGUAAGGAUUUCCCAGAAGAAAAGAAGAAGCAAAUGUGCAAACCUCCACCCUUCAACUUGAAGACCUGCAGUUCGUAAUGUGCGUAUCCAAAGUGCUGACAUUAAUGCCGUUUCCAGGGUUUUCAAUGGGAGGAUAAUCUGUGAUGACAAAAUUGUAUCCCUUCCUUCCUGCAAUUACCUCACUCUCCUUACAGCCUUGACAUCUGGAAAGCCAGUGCUACUGUAGCAGCUGUGACUCCUGUCCUACAGCAGGAAGUUAACUGUGCAUUCCAGAGAGCCCUCAUUGUUCCCAUAUUUUCGGGCAGCUCAGAAAGCCUGGAUAUUGGAGAUCACAGUAUUUUGUGGCAGCCACAUUUUGGAAUCUUAUGCAAGUGUACACCA
Long non-coding RNA from Tupaia belangeri chinensis (Chinese tree shrew), 741 nucleotides. RefSeq lists it as uncharacterized. Lineage: Eukaryota; Metazoa; Chordata; Mammalia; Scandentia; Tupaiidae. The record is from RefSeq and is a predicted model, not a curated record. The transcript has 4 exons.